AGAGUUUGAUCAUGGCUCAGGAUGAACGCUGGCGGCGUGCUUAACACAUGCAAGUCGAACGAAGCACUUUGGAUAGAUUUCUUCGGAUUGAUAUCCUUAGUGACUGAGUGGCGGACGGGUGAGUAACGCGUGGGUAACCUGCCUCAUACAGGGGGAUAACAGUUAGAAAUGGCUGCUAAUACCGCAUAAGCGCACAGUACCACAUGGUACCGUGUGAAAAACUCCGGUGGUAUGAGAUGGACCCGCGUCUGAUUAGCUAGUUGGCAGGGUAACGGCCUACCAAGGCGACGAUCAGUAGCCGACCUGAGAGGGUGAUCGGCCACAUUGGGACUGAGACACGGCCCAA
Molecule: ribosomal RNA, 346 nt
Filed under: uncultured bacterium
Lineage: Bacteria
Description: bacterial SSU rRNA
Rfam family: Bacterial small subunit ribosomal RNA
Source: RNAcentral